CCUACGGGUGGCUGCAGUGAGGAAUAUUGGUCAAUGGACGAGAGUCUGAACCAGCCAAGUAGCGUGAAGGAUGACUGCCCUAUGGGUUGUAAACUUCUUUUAUAUGGGAAUAAAAUGUUCCACGUGUGGGAUUUUGUAUGUACCAUAUGAAUAAGGAUCGGCUAACUCCGUGCCAGCAGCCGCGGUAAUACGGAGGAUCCGAGCGUUAUCCGGAUUUAUUGGGUUUAAAGGGAGCGUAGGUGGAUUGUUAAGUCAGUUGUGAAAGUUUGCGGCUCAACCGUAAAAUUGCAGUUGAAUCUGGCAGUCUUGAGUACAGUAGAGGUGGGCGGAAUGCGUGGUGUAGCGGUGAAAUGCUUAGAUAUCACGCAGAACUCCGAUUGCGAAGGCAGUUCACUGGACUGCAACUGACACUGAGGCUCGAAAGUGUGGGUAUCAAACAGGAUUAGAUACCCGGGUAGUC
Molecule: ribosomal RNA, 460 nt
Filed under: uncultured bacterium
Lineage: Bacteria
Description: partial 16S ribosomal RNA
Rfam family: Bacterial small subunit ribosomal RNA
Source: RNAcentral